This is a non-coding RNA of Drosophila suzukii, 754 nucleotides long. NCBI's taxonomy places the organism in Eukaryota, Metazoa, Arthropoda, Insecta, Diptera, Drosophilidae. The record is from RefSeq and is a predicted model, not a curated record.
AGUACCGUGGCAAAUUCGUUAGUAUUGCUUCUAGGCACAUUUUCAGUUCAGUUAGCAGUCAUCAUGCAGGGCUGGAUCGUUUUCGUCGUGCUGUCUCUAUAUAACCUAUCAGUUGGUACCGCUUAUUAUACAAGUCCAAUCUAUGCUACUCUAUGCAGGCGAACAGGAGGAUCCAUAACUUGUUAUCAAGACGACACUUGGGGCUUUAAUGAGAAGACUCGAAAAUGCUAUCGUGUACGAAAGGCUACAGCACCAUGCGGCUUUUUCGAUGGUAAAAAAGGUUGCGUGGACUUUUGCCUCAAAUCUAGGGGAUAAGACAGCAUGUUAAGUGCUAAACUUUAAAAAAUGCUUGUCUUAAUAUACAAUAAUAGUGGCCUUAACGUGUCUCAUACGCCAUAUAAAAUAUCUAAGGUCAUGAAAAUGGCUUUAGAUAAAUGCAUGUCCUGAUAUUUAAUAAAAUAUAAUAAUAAUGGCCUUAACGUGUCUAAUACACCAUAUAAUGUAUGCCAAUCCAUACCUAAAAGUUAUCUAAAGCCAUGAAAAUUAUAUGACUGUUAUUUUGUAACUCCACCAGUUACGAUGAAUAUCUUUCACAAACUGUUCUUUAUUUUAUUAAGCCUAUCCAACAUGAUUCUCGGAAAUGCUGGCUCACUGAAAGACAUGUUCUGCAGUCCUAGUCAAGUAGAAGACUUUUGCUUGGAGGAGAACACUUGGGCAUUUGACCAGAAAACGAAAUCAUGUAAACUUGUGAUUG